This is a long non-coding RNA of Triticum dicoccoides, 529 nucleotides long. RefSeq lists it as uncharacterized. The record is from RefSeq and is a predicted model, not a curated record. Lineage: Eukaryota; Viridiplantae; Streptophyta; Magnoliopsida; Poales; Poaceae. The transcript is spliced from 3 exons.
GUGGCUCGAGUCUGCGUUCUACUCCCGAUCCGUGGCUCAGGUAAUGGAUCUCCGGUAGGGGGCAGUGGGCAGCGUAAUAAAUGACAAGUCAGAUGGAAGAAGGAGCUCUCUCCCGCCCGUGGCCACGUUAUCCUGCAGCGCCAUUGACGCCCGCCGAGGUCUGCGGCGGAAGGAAAAUGCGGCGGCGAUUCCUGAAUGGAGUUCCUCAUGCAACCGAUUAGGAGGACCGCGGUGAUGGAGGAGGUGAACGACAACGAGCUACCAAUGGAGCCUCUGCUCUACCCAGCUGUGGCGAUAGGAGCCGAAGAGCUGCCCCCAAUGGCCACAGGUAGCACUGACGGGCGGAUUUGUGCGGCGGAUGUGACAGUCGCGGCAGAGGGGGGCGAUGAACCGCAAGCAUCUAAGCAAUCCAUAGGUCAAAUUGAUCCAAAAACUCCUGGCUAGACUCGCAGGGUUAGAAUUGGAGCUGAUGCUCCUGGGAGGGCGCCUUGCCCUGGGCCACCCAGUGCCCUUGAGAAGGCAAUAAGGG